CUUUGCACUUCAGCACCUGCUCCGCUCAGUGGGAAUUUGGAACUGCCAGUCAGCUGGAAACAAAGCUUAUUUCAUUCCAGCCUUUGCCACACAGUCCACCCUCAGCAUCCUGGCACUGACAGAAACAUGGAUAUGUCCAGAGGAUACAGCAACACCUGCUGCUCUCUCCAACAACUUCUCCUUCUCUCACACCCCUCGACACACAGGUCAGCUGGCAUUAGGAUGUCCUGCUCUCCUCAUUCCCGGAGGAUGUUAAGCCACUUGUGGUUCUUGGUGAUUUCAACAUACACCAACACAAGCCCCAGGCCACUGAACUGAAUGCUCUUCUGGCCUCAUUUGACUUGAAAAGUCUAAGCACCACAGCAACUCACAGAUCGGGCAACCAGAUGGACCUCGUUUUUACACGCCAGCACAUACUACACCACCCAGCCCCUGGCUCUCUGACGUGCUUCGUGAACAUCGGACUGACCUCAGGGCAGCUGAGAGGAGAUGGUGGAAAUCUAAAGAUCCAGCAGAGCUAGGUAAGUAUCAGUCUCUGCUUGCAACUUUUUCAGAUAAUGUUAAAUCUGCAAAAACUUCCUACUACCAGAACAAGAUCAACAGCAUCACAGACACUUGCAGCUUGUUUAGAA
Xyrauchen texanus (razorback sucker) is the source of this 632-nucleotide long non-coding RNA. RefSeq lists it as uncharacterized. Lineage: Eukaryota; Metazoa; Chordata; Actinopteri; Cypriniformes; Catostomidae. The transcript is spliced from 3 exons. The record is from RefSeq and is a predicted model, not a curated record.